RNAcentral lists this long non-coding RNA (502 nucleotides) under Gallus gallus (chicken). Its description in RNAcentral is "long non-coding RNA NONGGAT008927". The record is from RNAcentral. Lineage: Eukaryota; Metazoa; Chordata; Aves; Galliformes; Phasianidae.
GAGCAGCCCCCAGGAGGAUCCUGUUAUGUGUUCAAUACCUGAUGUAUUACUUCAGCAGCAAAUUCAACAAGGCCAAGAUGUCUUCAUUUUCCUCCAGAGCAAGAGCUGUAUGAGCAGUGUGAUGGAAGUAUUGGUCUUCUGUGGCCAGCCGGCGAGAACCCAUCAACAGCUGUGAUGAGCAGAGCAGACACGGAGAGACAGGAGGCAGCUGAAGCCAAAGAGGACCCACGCCUGAAGCUGUGUGUGUGUGAUUGGAGCAGAGAGAGGCCAGGACCCAAGGAAAUCCCAGCAGCAAGGGAAAAAAACAGAUUGACUCUCAGUGACUCAUUUAGCUCCUGGAUUGGACAGAUCUCUCCCCUGCUGGCAAUUUGGCUGAGCAUCAAUGGACAGAUACCAGGAUGAAUAGCUUAAAAUAAUUAGGGGUUGGGAAUAUGCAAAACUGCUAGCCAUCCAAUUCUUUACUCUGCAAUGUGAGGCACAAAAAAGAAAUUACAUUUAGGUU